Molecule: long non-coding RNA, 911 nt
Filed under: Homo sapiens (human)
Lineage: Eukaryota; Metazoa; Chordata; Mammalia; Primates; Hominidae
Description: HSALNT0362402
Source: RNAcentral
UGUUUGGAGUGAGACCAUUCCUCCUACCCUUUGAAAUUCAGAUUGUGUUUCAUUCUGCUUGCCAUAUGAGUAUCUCAGGAUUAUUUCCAGAUGUUGGAGUUUUUAAAAGGAUGUUCUAUUCUAUGGAUAGUUACUAGUUGUUGGUGAGUUGGGCCCAAGACUUCUUACUCUAGAAUCUUGCUGAUGGCACUCCCAUAGAAGAAGUCAUUUUAUUUACACAAGCACAUUACAUGAAACCAUUGGUGGAUGAGAUCAAAAUGUGAUCUGAAUGUACCAAGUAAUACAAAAGCUGAUAUGAACCUGAAUUCUUCCCAAAGGAAGAAAACUGCAAAUGCCAGAGCCCCAAUUUAGGUCUAUAUUUUUUUCUAAUUUGUCCACCAACAUUUCUCCAAAAAUGAAGAUGUUCUCAUUUUCUCCACAUCCUUCUCAUUAUCUACUUGCAGCUCUCCAAUGAUUAUUAUUAUACUAACCUGUUCAUGGAAAUGCUUUCAUCUAUUUUUUUCUAAUGGAAGCAUACUCACAUUUUUCCAUUUAUUUUUUUCCACUUUCAUCCAAGACAUAAGUUAUCCACCCUCUCCCACAUUCCAUUUUCAAUAUUUGACCUUAAAUAUCUCCACUUGUCAAGAUGACUGACAGCUAACACUAAGACAUCAGGUGCAAUACUGAAAUUUUUUUCUUAAGAAAAAGAUCUGGAAAAAUCUUACUAUACCUUUGAAUAUUUCUGUGUCUUUGAAUAUUCUUUGCCUUAACUCCCUGCAGGACUAGAAACUCCUAACUCUCCAAAUUUCCAUAUAAAAUGUGCAUUCUCAAGAUUGUGAACAUUAAGCAGAAUAUAUACUUUAUAAUUUGACCUCUGUUAUUUAGGGAAGUGUUCACAUUUUUAAAUAUGUAAAAUCAAGUGGAAAUGUGAA